Molecule: long non-coding RNA, 297 nt
Organism: Xiphias gladius (swordfish)
Lineage: Eukaryota; Metazoa; Chordata; Actinopteri; Istiophoriformes; Xiphiidae
Exons: 3
Source: RefSeq, a predicted model, not a curated record
CAGGCUGAAAUGCCAUGAAGCUGGGAAAAGGCACGAAAAGCUGAUCCUGUCAGCGGGUAAAAGAAAGGAGAGCCUCAGCAAAGAAUGCCUAAAAUGUCACAGCGGCGAGUUGCAAACCAGGAUUAAAUGGCUUUACUUCCGACACUUGGUGGAACGUGAAUCAGGCAAAAACAACUUGAUAGGUCCCAAGUUCCUCUGUUGCCCUGUAUUGGAAGCUGGCCAUCUCUUCACUACACCCAGACAACUUUGACUUUACUGGACGACAUGCAGUCCCACCAAUCGAGCUGACUGAUUUGC